GGGUGCAGUGGCGCCUGUUUUGCUUAGUUGCGGAGCUGACUUGAUUUGUCCCCUGUUCACUGCUCUCUGUCAUGCCACUGAAUGCUGUUUAGGGUGCUCAGUCAAGCUCCGAAGUUGCGACAUGGCAGGAAAGAAGUCAUACUGGAGAGAAAAAUCUCUGAAUACACUUCAUGUUGUAAAGCCUUUGACUAUCACAGUCACCCUCAGAGGAAUGAAAGAAUACAUACUGGAGAGAAGCCUUAUAAACGUAAUCAAUGUGGUGAAGCCUUUGCAUGUUACAGUCAUCACCAAUUACAUAAAAGGACACAUACUGGGCUGGAGAGAUGGCUCAGCGGCUAAGAGCACCGACUGCUCUUCCAGAGGUCCUGAGUUCAAGUCCCAGCAACCACAUCUUGGCUCACAGCCAUCUGUAGUGGGGUCUGGGAUCCACAAUAUUGUCUGGGUUUGAUAACUGUUUGAUAACUCUUCUGGUGUGUCUGAAGAGAUCAAUGUUGGUGUACUUAUAUGCAUAAAAUAAAUAAAUAAAUCUUUAACAACAACAAAAAAACCCACAUACUGGAGAGAAACCCUAUGAGUGUAAUCAAAGUGGUAUAGCCUUUGCACAUCAAAGUCAUCUUCAAAGGCAUGAAAGAAUGCAUACUGGAGAGAAACGCCAUGAACUUGUUUAAUAUGGUGAAGUCUUUGCACAUUUUAUAGUCUUCAUCAUCAUGAAAGUAUUCAUACUGGAGAGAUUCUAUGCAUGUAAGCAACGGGAUAAAGCCUUUGUGUUAUGUGUCCACUUAAGUCCAGUACAACUCCAACAUCAGGUCAAUGAAGAUGACAAGAAUUUAUUAUAAAGAAGCCACUACUGAUCAAUCAGGACUGUAGAAUAUACUCAGAAGCUGAAGUGCAACCCAUGUAACACAGCUUUUACUCUUGAAAACCACAAACGUGUUCCAAGUUACAGAUACAUUUCCCACCCAUCAGCACUUAGGGAUAGGGGCUUUCUUUAUGUGAUUGAACGCUGUCAACAGAUACAGAAUAUAAGUGUUACAGUCUAACCAAUCAUAUACACUUGGUUUGUUUCUUUUUGUGGUUAAGAAGAGUGAUUAUAUUUUGUGAAAGAAAGGAUGAAUAACAGAAGCUAUUCAGCUAUUGGGAAGUCUCCAGCUCCCCUAUAGCUUAGGAACUUGAACGUAGUUUCAUUCUAUGAUUAAAUGGAGUCCAAUAAUAAAAAAGGGAGUACUUAGAACAUGC
RNAcentral lists this long non-coding RNA (1236 nucleotides) under Mus musculus (house mouse). RNAcentral's name for it is "RIKEN cDNA 4930522L14 gene". Lineage: Eukaryota; Metazoa; Chordata; Mammalia; Rodentia; Muridae. The record is from RNAcentral.